Molecule: long non-coding RNA, 2173 nt
Filed under: Phocoena sinus (vaquita)
Lineage: Eukaryota; Metazoa; Chordata; Mammalia; Artiodactyla; Phocoenidae
Description: lncRNA (ENSPSNG00000011041.1)
Source: RNAcentral
AUCCUCAAACUCAUGAGAGGUGACUGUAGAAUGGCCACUAAAAAGAAUGAAAGAGUUAAUCUCACAGGAGGAAGUGACCCGGAAGGAAAGGAGACCAUUAUACUGCAAAAGGCUUGGAGAAGGACUGCCCUGCCAUCCCUUCAGGUCUCUCUGUGAUUGUGCCCUUGGAACUAAGGGGAAGUUCAGCUUCCUGCAGAGGGCACUUUCUGUGUGAAUCCAUGUUUGGUAGCACCCUAGAUAGCUGGUAUCAUGCUGCCACGCAAAGGACAUUUAUUUGUGUAGCUUUUUUUUUUUUUUUUUUUUAGCCGCGACACGUGGCUUGCGGGAUCUUAAUUCCCCGACCAGGGAUCGAACCUGCGUCCCCCUGCAGUGGAAGCACGGAGUCCUAACAACUGGACCGCCAGGGAAUUCCCUGUUUAGCAUUUAGGAAGAAGAGAUGGAUUCAAAAGUUGAAGGAAGUACCGCGUGGAUGGAGCCCGCAGAUACUGCCCCUUCAUGAGAUUCAGCAAAGUUCCUGAAAACGGGUCAGCAAAAGGGCACUCUGUUUUCCCAAAGCUGCCAUCCCGUUACAACACCUUUUAGCUUCAGAGCUCAUCUUCCAGGUCCUCGUCUAUGCUGACCUUCCCAGGAGAGGUCAGAAGCAUGGAACAUGGGUCCUGUUUUAGAGAUUUUUUUUUAAGGCAAGUGGCAGGAAGACCUUUAGAUGUGAAUGGGCAGAAACAGGAAAAGAAUCGAGGAUUCCUGGUUCCAAGUUCAAAUACUCCAGCACCCUUUGAACACAGGGGCUCCAGGAAGAAUGGACAUUCUUGUCCCAGCUGUUGUGGCACAGGAUGUAGAAGUUGGGGCUCCUAGCUGGCUCAUUAGUACCUCUUCUUCCCUAUCAACCCUCUGCCACAGCCUCGCAGGGGCUCCUUGCUCAUGCAUCUUGACCACUCACAGCCCUCAUCAUCUCAGACAAAGAAGAGACGUGGGCACUAAGGAAGGAAAUGGCAGGAGGGAAUGGAGGGGAGAUGUCAUUCUGCUUCAUACUCACCUGCCACCUCCCCAGCGUGUGGCUGAAAGACGAGAACUCUGAUGCUUUUCUUGAGGACACAACAGGAAGACAUCACACAAAAGCCCAGGGGCUGGAGACACAGGCCGGAUAUUCACUCAGGGGACAGAAUGGAGAGGCAGAGCACUCCAACUUCAGAUCCCACAGGCAGAGAUGGCACUGAGGAGACGAAAGCUGACCUGAGCCAGGCUCUGGUAUGGCCGUGUGCGACUUGGGGUGACAAGAAGGAACUGACUCCGACCCAAGGGCUGCAGACACCUCAGAGGAACCCGAGUUUGGUAGCAGAAGAUGUCAUGGCUGAGAGCAUUCUCUCUUCAGGUCCACUGGGUACUGUCAGCGAUUGUGGUCUCAAGAUCCAAUUACCCCGUGAAAGCUGCAAGGCAAUUCAGUCCCAGGCCACCUCGGUCGGUUGUGCUCUCUUCCUGAAGCUGCCUGUGGCGUCAACCAGUCAUGGAUAAAGGAGCCUCUGAAGUCACUCCCAGGACGCCCCACCCAUCGUCAGAAGGAUGACAGAUGAAUACCUAAAACCCUCCCUGGCCUCCAAAAACAUAAUGAGUUUUUUACUCGGUAGGCAACUGGGGAGGCACAGAAAUGAUGUGGAUUUGUCCAAAUGGCUAUGGAUGCUGACACGAGCUGCACCAGGAUGGAGUUGGCCAUUGCCAAAAAGUCGUAUAACCUACCUGCUUAUGCCUAUCUGUAAUUUUGGAAAAUGAAAAAAAAUGUAGAGGACUUCCCUGGUGGCACAGUGGUUGAGAAUCCGCCUGCCAAUGCAGGGGACACGGGUUCGAGCCCUGGUCCAGGAAGAUCCCACAUACUGUGGGGCAGCUAAGCCCGUGCACCACAACUACUGAGCCUGAGCUCUAGAGCCCAUGAGGCACAACUACUGAGCACGCGUGCCACAACUUCUGAAGCCCGUGCACCUAGAGCCCGUGCUCCACAAUAAGAGAAGCCACCGCAAUGAGAAGUCCGCGCACUGCAAUGAAGAGUAGCCCCCGCUCGCUGCAACUAGAGAAAGCCCGUGUGCAGCAACGAAGAUCCAACACAGCCAUAAAUCAAUAAAUAAUUGUAGAAUAACAAACUCCUCCCUUGUUUCACCUGUUAAAAUAAAAGGUGCCUGUCACU